RNAcentral lists this ribosomal RNA (430 nucleotides) under uncultured bacterium. RNAcentral describes it as "bacterial SSU rRNA". It matches the Rfam family "Bacterial small subunit ribosomal RNA", at positions 355 to 775 of the family's 1533-position model. The record is from RNAcentral.
UGCGGAAUUUUAGAUAAUGGAGGGAACUCUGAUCUAGCGGCGCCGCGUGCAGGAAGAAGGUCUUCGGAUUGUAAACUGCUGUGGUAAGGGAAAAAUGCUAUGUAGAGUGGAAAGAUACAUAGAGGGAUGGUACCUUACUAGAAAGCCCCGGCUAACCACGUGCCAGCAGCCGCGGUAAUACGUAGGGGGCGAGCGUUACCCGGAAUCACUGGGCGUAAAGGGAGCGUAGGUGGCCUAACAUGUCAACUGUGAAAACCCGGAGCUCAACUCCGGACUUGCAGUUGAAACUGGUAGGCUUGAGGACGGUAGAGGAAGACGGAACUGCCAGUGUAGGGGUAAAAUCCUUAGAUAUUGGCAGGAACGCCGGUGACGAAGGUGGUUUUCUGGGCCGGUUCUGACACUGAGGCUCGAAAGCCAGGGGAGCGAACGG